This is a long non-coding RNA of Lepus europaeus (European hare), 3059 nucleotides long. RefSeq lists it as uncharacterized. The record is from RefSeq and is a predicted model, not a curated record. The transcript has 7 exons. Lineage: Eukaryota; Metazoa; Chordata; Mammalia; Lagomorpha; Leporidae.
UUGGUCUUCCUGAGAGUGCCAUCAGAGAUGUGCUGCAGGCUGCGGUCAUCUGGAGCCACACGAUGUGUGUGGUGGCCAAUCCUGUUACAGACUCCGUGGCAGCCCGGUGUCCCUCCCUUGAGUACCUAUGUGUCUCUGAGCACUGGGCACACAGCAGUGAACAAGACAGGCAAUUCGCCUCAAGCAUCCAUUCAAGAAGGGGAAACAGAGAGGGUGAACAAAAUGCGCUCCCGAGCUGGUGUCUGAGAGCGCUUUCAGGAAACAAUGAAGUGCCCGUACACUUGCAGUCCCAAUUACCCACAAUUCUGUGAUUCUCAGAGAAGUGGUACCUGGAAGGAGGAAGAAGCAUCCAGAAAGUUGUCAGAGGGAUGAGAAGCGCUGCUUUCCAGUUCAUCAGACUCUUUGUCUGCACUUACCUCUAAGUUUUCAAACUGUCUCCCAAAUCCUCGGGCAGGGAGUGGCAGGAGAAAAGGAAGAACUCUUCUUCUACACACAAACGGCUGCCUCGUGUCCCUUGGGGGAGACCCUUCCCUUCCUCCUGGAAUGCUCUCCAGCAAUGAAUGAGGGACUGAAAUGGUGCCCAGGACAAAAGCUCCGCUCUGCCCUUUCGUGGUGCGCCCUCUGCAGAGUUUCCAGACAGAUAACUCGAUCUUGAAUGGAAAGAGAAACUCGGAACAAACUGAUGACAAUAAGUCUAAUGCCACGACAAAGCAAACUUAGUACUGGGAUAAAGGCACAUUUGCAUACCUUGCUUUGAGAUUUUUGCUUUCCUGGGCUGGAACUUGAUAAUUCUCUCAACCAUCCAGUGAGGUUGGUAUCACUCUGUGUGCUUUAUGAAGGGCAAGUUGAGGUUCCCCAUGAAGGCGUCAUCCACAGCGUGUUGUUGCACCCGCUGCUGGUCUAGCAGCCUCCUGGAGCUUAGGCCACGGUGGUUUUCUUCGAUGCUUCCAGGGACCCAUGGUACGAGGGGCCUCCAGAACAUUCCCGGACAGUGGGAUUAAAAGGCGCAUAGCACAGCACCACACUGCAGUUCUGGCCUUGGAUGCAGGCAGACCUGACCACAUCCCUUACAAGCCUGACCUUGAACGAGUGGCCUCCGCCCAGCGCUGUCAACCUCAGCUCUCACCUGUAAAACAGGGAAGUAAGAAUUCACUCAAUUGGACACCAGAUUAUUGUCAAACUGUUUCAUAUGCCUAUCUCGCAGGCAGACCACAGAGAGGGGGUGGCCCCUAAACUGCUAGUCCUGGAUCUUUCAGUCCUGAGCACCUUAGGAAGAAGAGUAAAGAUCAAAACAAGAACAGACAGAAGCCCAGCCUGCUUGUGUUCAGAACUCCGUUACAGAGCAGACAGCUGGGUGUGAGCGCUGGCUUGCUCACAACUUCACAUGGGCCCCAGCCAAAGAAGCAUGUUCUUCCCUAGUGAGCUCAUCUUAGGACCACACAACGGCCUCUUAUCCUUGGCUUCCCUCUUUGCUAUAUAAUUUUGCCAUUCCCUGUAUUGAAAGGUAGACUCCAUUCCUCCAGCCUCAGAUCUGGACUUGCUUUGGCCAACAGGUAAAAAGUGAUGUGACUGAAGACUUGGACAUUUCUGUGCACUGAGACUUACCCAGCACUGGAGCUUUGGACGUGGACAACACCUUGUGAAUGAUCUUCAGCUGUCUGUUGGACAGGUCACUUGGAGGAGAACUGAGACCCUCAGAGGAACGUUUGGAGCCACUUUGUUACCAUCAUAGUUCCUGGCAUACAGCAGAGUCUCGUGCAGCAAACACAAAAAUCCCAAGCAGUAGAAAAGAUCCUUGAUGACCAGCAAGGCCCCAUGAAGAAGGACAGCAGGAAUAAAAGCCAUGGGAGGCCUUCUUUAAUGUAGCAGGUGGCUGGAGACAGGCAAGCCUGGCUCCUACACUCUGCUCAAGCUGUCUUUCCCCGGAGAGAGUCUCCUGAUUACAUUCCUGUAAAAAAGAGAAGAAAAGAUAACCUAAAAUGGAUAUGUUACAGUUCUGCCGUGUGUACAGUAACCGCUCUCGAAGCAUGUGCAAGCAUACGGAGGUCCGGAAACCUUUUGAGAAUCUGAUGAAAGCCUGGGCUUUGCACAUAGGUGUACACAGAAACGUGCACAUUCAUUCCAGCGGCUCCGAGAGGCUCUGAUCUUCAUUCCCGAACCUCCGAGGAGUCUGCGGCUGCCAGAUUCCUGGGCUUUGAGCGCAGGCAGCUGCUACUCUUUAACUUUUUCACUAUAUUCAGAUCAACUUCUAACGUGAAAAGAAAGGCCUGUGGAUUCUGAAGGAAGCAGUCACACUGGAACACCAGCAUUUUACUGGAAAAACGUCCUUCCAAAUUUUGGAGAAAAUGGCUUCAGUGUAUAGCUCAUUCUGGUAAAGACUCCCCGCACAGCUCUUCCGACAGAUUGCUGCAGAUCAUGGGGUGUGUCACUGCGCAUCAUUUCUUUGGAAGCUCACUCUCCUGGCACUGUUGCCAGCAUUUAUGACUGGGGGCAGGGGUUGGUCAGCAAUGAAAGAACAAACACGGAAUUCUCAGACCCUUGAAUGGCAGCUUGACUGUCUCCAAGGACUUCGUCUGGAGGAGUGACACAAAGGUAGACAUUUCUCCCUCUGAUGUCCACUGAGCCAUGACUGAAAAAGCUGGAAUUGUUUAAGGUGGCUCCCUGGACCCUGUGAGGAUCUCUGUGACAUCAUUCACUGGUGCUUCUCUGUUGGGCGACUGCUGAACAUCAUCGCUUUCUUCCAACCCCACUGGGUGUGGAGCAGUCAUUUAGGGAGCCCGGCUGAGCUACAGCAAGCGUAUAAUUGACGUAUGUCUUAAGGAUAGUUACACUACAAGCAAUUUGACUCAACUCCUGUACACAUUUUUAAAAUUAAUUUAUUUAUUUGAAAUAGAGGGAGGGAGAAACAGAGAAAUAAAUCUUCCAUCUGAAACCAGGAGCCAGGCACUUCUUCCAGGUCUCCUACUUCAGUCCUGAGGCCCAAGGACUUGGGCCAUCUUCUACUGCUUUCCCAGGCCAUAGCAGAGAGCUGGAUCGGAAGUGGAGCGUCCCCAUGGAAU